RNAcentral lists this ribosomal RNA (477 nucleotides) under uncultured bacterium. RNAcentral's name for it is "partial 16S ribosomal RNA". It matches the Rfam family "Bacterial small subunit ribosomal RNA", at positions 28 to 507 of the family's 1533-position model. The record is from RNAcentral.
GAUUAACGCUGGCGGCGUGCAUAACACAUGCAAGUCGAACGAUGAAACUUAAAUGAUUUCUUCGGAAUGAACUUAAGUGGAUUAGUGGCGGACGGGUGAGUAACGCGUGAGUAACCUGCCUUACACAAGGGGAUAGCCGGUGGAAACGACGAAUAAUACCCUAUGAAACUAUCACUUCGCAUGAAGCGAUAGUCAAAGUGUUAGCGGUGUAAGAUGGACUUGCGUCUGAUUAGCUAGUUGGUGAGAAAAAAGCCCACCAAGGCAACGAUCAGUAGCCGGCUUGAGAGAGUGUACGGCCACAUUGGGACUGAGACACGGCCCAGACUCCUACGGGAGGCAGCAGUGGGGAAUUUUGCACAAUGGGGGAAACCCUGAUGCAGCGACGCCGCGUGAUUUAGAAGGCCUUCGGGUUGUAAAAAUCUUUUGUAUAGGAAGAAAAUGACAGUACUAUACGAAUAAGGUCCGGCUAAUUACGUG